UUUCUAAGCAGGCAGAUAUUGGGGAAGCGGUGCAAGCGAAGUUUGGAUUCGAUUAAGGAGAAAGCUGUUAAGAGGAAGAUUCGUAAUUCGAUCAUUUUCUGAGUUUGUGUGGAAGAUGACGUUUUUUUUUCUUUCUUUCUUUCUACAUGAGUGGGAAGAUGAAAGAGUAGGGAAGAUGAUGGGAAGAUUUAUUUUGUUUCUUUUGUUCAUUAAGGGUAAAAAUGUAUUUUCAUACAAAAUAUGGGUAGUUUUUAUAAUAGUGUGUAUAAUUUGUUUUUGGUAUAUGUUUUUACUAUAGAUAUACUAUGAUCGUAUUAUACUAUUAUAUGAAUACUAUUAUGUCGCAGCCCGAUAUAGCCAGUGAUA
Molecule: long non-coding RNA, 366 nt
Filed under: Salvia miltiorrhiza (redroot sage)
Lineage: Eukaryota; Viridiplantae; Streptophyta; Magnoliopsida; Lamiales; Lamiaceae
Description: long non-coding RNA (SMIL_LNC012557)
Source: RNAcentral